GAUGAACGCUGGCGGCGUGCCUAAUACAUGCAAGUCGAACGCAUUGUGGUUGAAAUGAUAUGAAGAACUUGUUCAGAUUUGACUUUCAACAUUGCAAUGAGUGGCGAACGGGUGAGUAACACGUGGGAAACCUACCUCUUAGCAGGGGAUAACAUUUGGAAACAAAUGCUAAUACCGUAUAAUAAUUAAAACCGCAUGGUUUUAGUUUAAAAGAUGGUCUUGCUAUCACUAAGAGAUGGUCCCGCGGUGUAUUAGUUAGUUGGUGAGGUAAUGGCUCACCAAGACAAUGAUACAUAGCCGAGUUGAGAGACUGACCGGCCACAAUGGGACUGAGACACGGCCCAUACUCCUACGGGAGGCAGCAGUAGGGAAUCUUCCACAAUGGACGAAAGUCUGAUGGAGCAACGCCGCGUGUGUGAUGAAGGGUUUCGGCUCGUAAAACACUGUUGUAAGAGAAGAAUGACAUUGAGAGUAACUGUUCAAUGUGUGACGGUAUCUUACCAGAAAGGAACGGCUAAAUACGUGCCAGCAGCCGCGGUAAUACGUAUGUUCCAAGCGUUAUCCGGAUUUAUUGGGCGUAAAGCGAGCGCAGACGGUUAUUUAAGUCUGAAGUGAAAGCCCUCGGCUCAACCGAGGAAUUGCUUUGGAAACUGGAUAACUUGAGUGCAGUAGAAGAAAGUGGAACUCCAUGUGUAGCGGUGAAAUGCGUAGAUAUAUGGAAGAACACCAGUGGCGAA
Molecule: ribosomal RNA, 737 nt
Filed under: uncultured Weissella sp.
Lineage: Bacteria; Bacillati; Bacillota; Bacilli; Lactobacillales; Lactobacillaceae
Description: bacterial SSU rRNA
Rfam family: Bacterial small subunit ribosomal RNA
Source: RNAcentral